RNAcentral lists this ribosomal RNA (738 nucleotides) under Triticum aestivum (bread wheat). RNAcentral describes it as "partial small subunit ribosomal RNA". Lineage: Eukaryota; Viridiplantae; Streptophyta; Magnoliopsida; Poales; Poaceae. The record is from RNAcentral.
AUGCCUUCAGCAGCUUCCCGACUCGUGCGGAUCGGCCGUGCCGCUCGCUCAGCUGCGGCGACCACAUCUCGCUUCGCCCAAUUCGUUGAAGCAGCGACCCUCUCCACGAAGGCGGUGGCGACCAAACCUCACGCUAUCUUAGGUUCAGAUCGUGCCGCCUCCGUAGAUCUGCGUAUGAACCAAUCCACUGUCCAUGCUCCUCCACGCGCCAUGGCACCUGCCUCCCUGACACUCAGUCACCCAGAAGAACAAAGGCAGGAAGGUAAGGUGAAGUUUGUGGUAGAGGAGAAAGACCUUGAGUCAGAAGCAGCCCUUUGGGCCUUGUAUGAGCGCUGGUGCAAAGAUUUCAACCAAAAGCGUGAUCAUGAUGAGAUGGUUCACUGGUUCAACACAUUCAAGGAGACUGUCCUGCUUGUCCACCGUCGGAACAAUGCUAAUCUGCCCUACAAAUUGGGAAUAAACAAAUUCGCGGAUGGGAAGCUAAGGAAGCUCUGUUGCUGUCAUGAUCCUAUUCUUAAAAAGAUUGAUGAGGAGUUUGGCGACAAACCAGGUGAAUUUAUUCUAGGUGAUGGUGACAAACUUCUCAAGCGAGUCUUCGCUGAUUAUAAGGUGGUUCAUGGCAGACUGUAUGUUCAUUUACCAAAGGGAGUUGAUGUGGAAACCAUCACCACCAAUCCUGAAUGGGUCGAGCUGGAAGCGACCACCAACCCUCCAUACCGAUACCCUACUUACAUCUAG